This 68-nucleotide transfer RNA is filed under the name Trichonephila inaurata madagascariensis. It matches the Rfam family "tRNA". Rfam says of the family: Transfer RNA (tRNA) molecules are approximately 80 nucleotides in length. Lineage: Eukaryota; Metazoa; Arthropoda; Arachnida; Araneae; Nephilidae. The record is from Rfam by way of RNAcentral.
GCCAGUAGGAUGGAUAUGACCCUCGGCUUGUAACCGAGUGGGUUCGGGUUCGAAUCCCGAGUAAGGCA